GGAGGAAAAGAAACUAACAAGGAUUCCCCUAGUAACUGCGAGUGAAGCGGGAAAAGCUCAAAUUUAAAAUCUGGCAGUCUUUGGCUGUCCGAGUUGUAAUCUAGAGAAGUGUUACCCGCGUCGGACCGUGUAUAAGUCUCCUGGAAUGGAGCGUCAUAGAGGGUGAGAAUCCCGUCUUUGACACGGACUCCCGAGGCAUUGUGGUAUGCUCUCAAAGAGUCGAGUUGUUUGGGAAUGCAGCUCAAAAUGGGUGGUAAAUUCCAUCUAAAGCUAAAUAUUGGCGAGAGACCGAUAGCGAACAAGUACCGUGAGGGAAAGAUGAAAAGAACUUUGGAAAGAGAGUUAAACAGUACGUGAAAUUGCUGAAAGGGAAACGCUUGAAGUCAGUCGCGUCGGCCGGAAAUCAACCUUGCUUUUGCUGGGCGUACUUUCUGGUUGACGGGCCAGCAUCAGUUUUGACCGGUGGAAAAAGUCUAAGGGAAUGUGGCAUCUUCGGAUGUGUUAUAGCCCUUGGUCGUAUACAUCGGUUGGGACUGAGGAACUCAGCAUGCCGCAAGGCCGGGUCUUUGACCACGUUCAUGCUUAGGAUGCUGGCAUAAUGGCUUUAAUCGACCCGUCUUGAAACACGGACCAAGGAGUCUAACAUGCCUGCGAGUAUUUGGGUGGAAAACCCGAGUGCGCAAUGAAAGUGAAAGUUGAGAUCCCUGUCGUGGGGAGCAUCGACGCCCGGACCAGAAGUUCUCUGACGGAUCUGCGGUAGAGCAUGUAUGUUGGGACCCGAAAGAUGGUGAACUAUGCCUGAAUAGGGUGAAGCCAGAGGAAACUCUGGUGGAGGCUCGUAGCGAUUCUGACGUGCAAAUCGAUCGUCAAAUUUGGGUAUAGGGGCGAAAGACUAAUCGAACCAUCUAGUACUUGG
Molecule: ribosomal RNA, 916 nt
Filed under: Psathyrella madeodisca
Lineage: Eukaryota; Fungi; Basidiomycota; Agaricomycetes; Agaricales; Psathyrellaceae
Description: eukaryotic LSU rRNA
Rfam family: Eukaryotic large subunit ribosomal RNA
Source: RNAcentral